UACGGGGGGGGUAAGCGUUGUUCGGAAUUACUGGGCGUAAAGGGCUCGUAGGCGGCCAACUAAGUCGGACGUGAAAUCCCUCAGCUUAACUGGGGAACUGCGUCCGAUACUGGAUGGCUUGGAUUUGGGAGAGGGAUGCGGAAUUCCAGGUGUAGCGGUGAAAUGCGUAGAUAUUGGGAGGAACACCAGUGGCGAAGGCGGCUCACUGGACUGGUACUGACGCUGAUGCGCGAAAGCGUGGGGAGCAAACAGG
Molecule: ribosomal RNA, 253 nt
Filed under: uncultured bacterium
Lineage: Bacteria
Description: partial 16S ribosomal RNA
Rfam family: Bacterial small subunit ribosomal RNA
Source: RNAcentral